GACGAACGCUGGCGGCGUGCUUAACACAUGCAAGUCGAACGGAAAGGCCCUGCUUUUGUGGGGUGCUCGAGUGGCGAACGGGUGAGUAACACGUGAGUAACCUGCCCUUGACUUUGGGAUAACUUCAGGAAACUGGGGCUAAUACCGGAUAGGAGCUCCUGCUGCAUGGUGGGGGUUGGAAAGUUUCGGCGGUUGGGGAUGGACUCGCGGCUUAUCAGCUUGUUGGUGGGGUAGUGGCUUACCAAGGCUUUGACGGGUAGCCGGCCUGAGAGGGUGACCGGCCACAUUGGGACUGAGAGACGGCCCAGACUCCUACGGGAGGCAGCAGUGGGGAAUAUUGCACAAUGGGCGGAAGCCUGAUGCAGCAACGCCGCGUGCGGGAUGACGGCCUUCGGGUUGUAAACCGCCUUCGCCUGUGACGAAGCGUGAGUGACGGUAAUGGGUAAAGAAGCACCGGCUAACUACGUG
This 468-nucleotide ribosomal RNA is filed under the name uncultured bacterium. RNAcentral describes it as "partial 16S ribosomal RNA". It matches the Rfam family "Bacterial small subunit ribosomal RNA", at positions 28 to 507 of the family's 1533-position model. The record is from RNAcentral.